AGCGCAACCCCUGCCCUUAGUUGCCAGCAUUUCGGAUGGGCACUCUAAGGGGACUGCCCGCGUCAAGCGGGAGGAAGGUGGGGAUGACGUCAAGUCCUCAUGGCCCUUAUGUCCAGGGCUACACACGUGCUACAAUGGACGGUACAAAGGGCUGCGAAGUCGCGAGACGGAGCCAAUCCCAAAAAGCCGUCCUCAGUUCGGAUCGGAGUCUGCAACUCGACUCCGUGAAGGUGGAAUCGCUAGUAAUCGCGGAUCAGCAUGCCGCGGUGAAUACGUUCUCGGGCCUUGUACACACCGCCCGUCACACCAUGGGAGCCAGUUGUACCGGAAGCCGGUGAUCCAACCCGCAAGGGAGGUAACCGUCCAUGGUAUGGCUGGUGACUGGGGUGAAGUCGUAACAAGGUA
Molecule: ribosomal RNA, 405 nt
Filed under: uncultured bacterium
Lineage: Bacteria
Description: bacterial SSU rRNA
Rfam family: Bacterial small subunit ribosomal RNA
Source: RNAcentral